GGGAUUGACCCCUCUAAAUAAGUAGGAGUUAAUACAUCAGUAUAUUUUAAUUUAGUAAAAUUUUGAUCAGGAUAAUCCAUGUGAUGGAUUUGAAAGGUUAAAAUAUAAUGUGGUCGAUUAUAUUAGGGUUGACAGUUAAACUCUAGAUCACGUUGAGCAUUUGGGUCAAAGGGAUGAAUUAUACGAUAACCAUACGCCGGU
Molecule: long non-coding RNA, 201 nt
Filed under: Elaeis guineensis (African oil palm)
Lineage: Eukaryota; Viridiplantae; Streptophyta; Magnoliopsida; Arecales; Arecaceae
Description: long non-coding RNA (EGUI_LNC002800)
Source: RNAcentral